GGCUUUGCCAAUGUUCUGUUGUAAUAGAACUACGUUUCAGUCUCAAAACAUUUCGUUAAUUACCAAUGGAUAAGAAAUGAAAGCAGCGAGGUGAAACUGAAAUUUUUACCACUGCGCAACGUCCAAUUCGCUUAUGAUCUUCGACACUUGGCUUCUUUGGAAGAUACACGCCGAAGAGAUUCUAGAAGAACCGCAGUUCUGAAGUUUCAGAUGGACUGUACCUGGGCACAAAAUGUCGGUCGAAGUAAAAGCAAUCGCGACCCACGCGUCGUAUUAAAACGAAAUCGGUUUGCAACAGC
Frieseomelitta varia is the source of this 299-nucleotide long non-coding RNA. RefSeq lists it as uncharacterized. The record is from RefSeq and is a predicted model, not a curated record. The transcript is spliced from 3 exons. Lineage: Eukaryota; Metazoa; Arthropoda; Insecta; Hymenoptera; Apidae.